This 849-nucleotide ribosomal RNA is filed under the name marine metagenome. Its description in RNAcentral is "bacterial SSU rRNA". It matches the Rfam family "Bacterial small subunit ribosomal RNA", at positions 9 to 873 of the family's 1533-position model. The record is from RNAcentral.
AGAGUUUGAUCCUGGCUCAGGACGAACGCUGGCGGCGUGCUUAACACAUGCAAGUCGAACGGAAAUAAAGGAGCUUGCUCCUUUUGAUUAGUGGCGAACGGGUGAGUAACACGUGGGCAACCUGCCCCUGACUCUGGGAUAACUACUCGAAAGAGUAGCUAAUACCGGAUAUGAAACCUGGAGACAUCUUCGGGUUUGAAAAGUUUUUCGGUCAGGGAUGGGCCCGCGGCCUAUCAGCUAGUUGGUGAGGUAGUGGCUCACCAAGGCGACGACGGGUAGCCGGCCUGAGAGGGUGACCGGCCACACUGGGACUGAGACACGGCCCAGACUCCUACGGGAGGCAGCAGUGGGGAAUAUUGCACAAUGGGCGCAAGCCUGAUGCAGCGACGCCGCGUGAGGGAUGACGGCCUUCGGGUUGUAAACCUCUUUCAGUAGGGACGAAGCGCAAGUGACGGUACCUGCAGAAGAAGGACCGGCCAACUACGUGCCAGCAGCCGCGGUAAUACGUAGGGUCCGAGCGUUGUCCGGAAUUACUGGGCGUAAAGAGCUCGUAGGUGGUUUGUCGCGUUGUUCGUGAAAACUCACAGCUUAACUGUGGGCGUGCGGGCGAUACGGGCAGACUGGAGUACUGCAGGGGAGACUGGAAUUCCUGGUGUAGCGGUGGAAUGCGCAGAUAUCAGGAGGAACACCGGUGGCGAAGGCGGGUCUCUGGGCAGUAACUGACGCUGAGGAGCGAAAGCGUGGGGAGCGAACAGGAUUAGAUACCCUGGUAGCUGGCACUUCUCCACACAUGACGCUGCCGACGACCGCAGCCACUGUGAUCACGCUGGCACGCACAGUACUCGACAC